Molecule: long non-coding RNA, 705 nt
Filed under: Pan troglodytes (chimpanzee)
Lineage: Eukaryota; Metazoa; Chordata; Mammalia; Primates; Hominidae
Description: long non-coding RNA NONPTRT016247
Source: RNAcentral
CCAGCUCUCUCCUCCUCUGCCCACCCAACAACCUCUGUGGCCCGGGUGGAUGUUAUCAGGAAGGAGGGUGUCCAGAGUGGGGACUUGUGUUAUAGGGAAGGUGGAGCAUUUGAGAGAAGGGGCAUCCAAGGCCACCAGACUCGGAGGUAAGCUUGCCAUGGAUUCACAUGGGGGCCAGUCGGGCAGCCCCAUCCAUCAGCUGUCCAUCAGCUCAUAGCUGUGUCUCCGCCACAGGUUCCCAUUAAGGAUGUCGAGGCGGGGAAUGGUGAGGAAGAGUCGGGCAUGGGUGCUGGAGAAGAAGGAGCGGCACAGGCGCCAGGGCAGGGAAGUCAGACCUGACACCCAGUACACCGGCCGCAAGCGCAAGCCCCGCUUCUAAGUCACCACGCGGUUCUGGAAAGGCACUUGCCUCUGCACUUUUCUAUAUUGUUCAGCUGACAAAGUAGUAUUUUAGAAAAGUUCUAAAGUUAUAAAAAUGUUUUCUGCAGUAAAAAAAAAAGUUCUCUGGGCCAGGCGUGGUGGCUCACACCUGUAAUCCCAGCACCUUGGGAGGCUGAGGUGGGAGGAUCAUUUGAGGCCAGGAGUUUGAGACCUGCCUGGGCAACAUAAUGAAACUUCCUUUCCAGGGAGAAAAAAAAAAAAAAAAAAAAAGCUCUGAGAGCAUCUUAUUUUGUUUAAAGGCAAGAAAUAAAAUUUCCUUUUGUG